This 647-nucleotide ribosomal RNA is filed under the name Parcubacteria group bacterium GW2011_GWA1_45_7. RNAcentral describes it as "bacterial SSU rRNA". It matches the Rfam family "Bacterial small subunit ribosomal RNA", at positions 7 to 627 of the family's 1533-position model. The record is from RNAcentral.
GAGGAUUUGAUCCUGGUCCAGGAUGAACGCUGGCGGUGUGGAUUAGGCAUGCAAGUCGCACGGUCCCGCAAGGGAUAGUGGCGAACGAGUUAGGAACACCUUGGCAACCUUCCCCCGAGAUAGGGAUAGCUCGUCGAAAGACGGGGUAAUACCUGAUGGUCCCUGAGAGCAUAAGCUUGAAGGGUAAACCCGCAAGGGGCUUGGGGAUGGGCCUAGGCCUGAUCAGCUAGUUGGUAGGGUAACGGCCUACCAAGGCUAUGACCAGUAGGGGAGCUGAGAGGCUGUUCCCCAACGGGGGCACUGAGACACGGGCCCCACUCCUACGGGAGGCAGCAGUCGAGAAUAUUCCACAAUGGGCGAAAGCCUGAUGGAGCGACACCGCGUAAAGGAAGAAGCUCUUCGGAGUGUAAACUUUUUUUAAUGGAGAAGAAGUCGCCGCAAGGCGACUGACGGUACCCAUGGAAUAAGGCGCGACAAACUACGUGCCAGCAGUAGCGGUAAUACGUAGGCGUCAAGCGUUAUCCGGAUUUACUGGGCGUAAAGCGUUCGCAGGCGGUCGCCAUACUUCGGUAUGUCCUGAAGGAGAUUUUUCUCCUGAAGGAUCAAGUCUGAUGUUUAAUCCCAUGGCUCAACCAUGGAACCGCAUC